CAAGUAUAGUAGUAGUAAUAUUAUAACAACACAAGGUAAAGCGCAAAGGUGCAUUAUCGCUCCAUUCAUUGAAACCAUCAAUAUAAAAAUUGUUCAACUGUGACAUAUCGUGAUCAAAUGUCAGUAAAUAGUCAAUUACAGAACAACCGUUAUGUGAUAAAAACGUAUGGUGGUUUGUAUAAGCUAGCCCCCCAUUCAUUAAACGCAAACCGGACGCUUAACACAAAUCUAAUAAUUUGACACCGUGACUGUUAACUGUGUGGUCCAAUGAGAUAUACCUUGGAGAUAGCGACAUUAUUCUUUCACAUGACACACCGUCCAAUGAUUACGAACAAAUCUACUGAGUCAUUUUAAAAUCUAACAAUGAAUGACAUAGUUACGGCCCGGACAAGAUCAUUUAUGGCCAUUUCCGACCUUUGAACUCAAAGUGUGACCUCGACCUUGGAGAUAUCGACGUAAUUCUUUCGCAAGACACACCGUCUAAUGAUUGUGAACAAAUUUACAAUCAUUUUUUAAUCUCACAAUGAAUGACAUAGUUAUGGCCCGGACAACCUUAGAUAUGGCCAUUUUUGACCUUUGAGCACAAAGUGCGACCUUGACCUUGGAGAUAUCGACGUAAUUCGGUUGCAUGACACACCGUUCAAUGAUUGUGAACAAAUGUACCGAGUCAUUUUAAAAUCUGACCAUGAAUGACAUAGUUAUGGCCCGGACAAGAUCAUUUAUGGCCAUUUUGACCUUUGAACUCAAUGCAUGACAUUGACGCUUCAAAAAUUGACGUAUUUUUUUCGCAUGACACACCGUCCAAUGAUGGUGAACAAAUGUGCCUUAUGAUUAUAAAAUCUCGCAAUGAACAACAUAGUUAUGGCCCGGACAAGCUCAUUUAGAAUUGUUCCGACCACCCGCCCGUCCGCUGACAUACACCAAUCUAAUUACCAGUUUGUUCCUUCGGAAUCAUGAUUAAAAAUUUGGUAUACCAUACGCUUUAUCCAUCAAUAUACUUGUUUGAUUACAUGGAUUUGUCAUCAUAUUAAACAAUGUUUCAGUGAUAUAAAGUUGGCCAGCUCACAAGGCAAGGGUAGUCGAAGUGUGGACAUGCUUGAAUCAAAUGUAGGAUAUCCUGUCACAGAAUGAUUACGUGACCAAACCCCAUUUUAAUGAUUUUAAGGGCUGAGAAAUAACCUCUUUAUGUGCAAAACAGUCGUCCCAUCUCCUUGGGAUUUCAUAAAUAUGAUUUCAUGUUUUUUUUUUGCAAUAUUAAAUAGUAAAAACACAUCCUUGAAUUAUGAUUUCCCUCCUUCAAAAUGUCAUGUUCUUGUGCUUCUUCCACAGAGAUGAAAAUUGAGAAAUGUGUUACUAACUAUACAGUCUCAUUAUGGGAACACAGUUAUGGCCAAUAUUCUAAAUUCUUAUAUCAGUAUUAAGAUUUCUAGACAUUUCUUGUUUUGUGUUCAGCCUGAGCAUAUUAUAUUUCUCACAAUUGUCAUUAUACUUGUUGAAUGCCUCCUUUGCGUUUGAAACUGCUAUGAGCUAAUCAUAAUGUAUUUAAAGGGAUCUUUUCACGCUUUGGUAAAUUGACAAAAUUGAAAAAAGUUGUUUCAGAUUCGUAAUUUUUCGUUUUAGUUAUGAUAUUUGUGAGGAAACAGUAAUACCGAACAUUAACCAUGCUCUAAUAUAGCCAUUAUAUGCAUCUUUUGACGAUUUUAAAACCUAAAAAUUAUAAAGCGUUGCAACGCGAAACGAUUGAAUAAUUUGGAGAGUUCUGUUUUUGUCGUUAAAUUUUGUGAAACUACGAAGAUUGCUUAUAUAAGGUAUAAAAUACGGCAAGAAUGUGUACUCGGCGGAAUAGCUCAGUAGGCUAGAGCGUUUUUACUUCAGGACUCUGGCAGGACUCCAGGGGUCACUUGUUCAAAACCUGCUCCGGGCAAUGUUCUUUUCCUUUUUUUAAUUUUUUUCUUGAUUUUUUACUGGAGCUUUUACGAUCCAAUGUUUACAUUUAUCAAUAUAAAGCAUUUAAUGAAUAAGUUAAAAAAAAAUGCCAAAAUCUGUGAAAAGGCCCCUUUAACAAGGCCAUGUACUGCCUUUUAGCAAGAUGACAUGACAGAGUUUUUAACCCUCAUAAAAUAUUAAAAUCUUUCUAAAAUUGGGCUUGCAUGCAUGUUAAUUAUCCACCUAUCUUCAUUUCAAGAGUACUUUUCUCUAUGUGAAGCAUUUUUUAUUUAUAUUGGCAUAAUUUGCCAACCAUAGUUUUAAUAAAAAGUAUAAUUUAAGCUCUUAUAAGAACUGAAGUGAAUGUAAUAAAGUCUUCUUAUUUCUCAAUCCAUAGUGACUACGAAAUCUGAGAUACAGAUGUGUUAUCAAUUUAGUUUAGGGACACCAAGAUAAAACAAAAUGGUUGGCUUCGAGGUAAUAUUUUGAGACAGCAGAAGACGCUUUUAUCUUCAAUGAAGUGCUUCAUUUCAGGGUUUUUAUGUUUGAAAAUUUAUCAAAUCAAUUGCAAAAAUAACAGUUGAUAAAAAUUGUCGAGGUAGAGUUAUGAAAUCAAUAAAGUUAAAGCAGACAAUUUGCAAGAGAGUGCUUGUUAUCUCAAUUUAUCAUGUUUCAACCUAUUUUCAGAAAAUGGUUUGUCCCUUUGAAUUAUUAUCAGUGAAAUGUUGAGCAAAAUGUAAACCAGGUCUUUUUGUAACUUGAAGUAUUGAUAUGUACUUCAGAACAUAGUUAAACUGGCUUGUGGGCUUAAACAGUCAACAUAGUUUAUAUAUUUUCAAAGAUUUACGUUUAGAAUAUAGGUAAAUAUUCUAAUUAAAAACUGUGUGUGUCAUCAUAAAUACUCAUUCUGUUAAUAGGGAUUGGAUCAUAAUAACAGUGGAAAGAUAGCAUUUCAAAACAAAGGACAGUUUACAAUAUCUACUGCAACAUGGCGACAACUGUACAUUCAGGUCAUAAUAGUUCAGAUUUAGUGAAAGACUAUGUUUGUGGAGGUUGCGAAAGUAGAAACAUUUAUGAAAGUGCAGAUUAUUUCUGUGCAACGUGUGCAAAGUUUUUCUGCAGAAAAUGCAUUGAUCCUCAUAAUCAAAUAUAUGAAAACCAUUCCAAAUAUGGAAGAAGAGAAACUAAUAAAUGGCCUCUAACAAAGACUAUGGAGGAUUUGCUACUGAACUGUGAUGUCCACAAAGAGGAGAAACUGAAAAUGUUUUGUCAGGACCACAGUCAGUUGUGUUGCACUGAUUGUGUUUUACUUAUCCACAGACAGACGGACAGAAUUACAGAUGGAGGGAAUAACGGAAAACAGAAUGAUGGACUGACAGAAUGACUGACGGAAGGAAAACGCCAAUCUAUAUACCAUCACCUUUGGCGGGGAAUAAUAGCCCAGGAUUGUAAACCGGCCAAAAAAGCCAGUAUUCAGGAAUUGUUGGGACCUCCAGAAGUUUAACUGGUAUUUUCACACGGCUAAGGGACUUUUGCAGAGUUUACAGCAAUGAUAUCUUCUGCACUAAACAGUAUGGCGUCCUGUAUCUUCCUACUCAUCAUCUCAAUGCCAGUGAUGUACUCCCCUCGCUGUGACAGUCCAAACUUGACCAGUCUCAAGCCGUAGUCUCCACCAUCGAGCUCGAGGUGAACUGUCAUAUCGUCGGCUCCUUGCGAAAAUGUCGUAACUAGAAAAUCUUAACAUUUCAGGAGAAGGAAAAAACUUCAGUUCUUUUUUUAAAGCUGCUGAAAUUAGGAAAUAUUUGUCAAAUGGUCAUCAUUAGUAUUACUUAACGUAUUUUUAUGCUGGAAACUGCUGUAAUUUGCUUUGUAUUUAAAUAUAUCGAGAUACGAUAGUUUUUCAGAAACAACUAACACAAUUCAUACGAAACAUUAAGAUACUCCAGAUACGACAUUUUUUAAGGGGGUAUAUAUGAAGUUUUCCCUCGAGAUAUGUAAUUAUCCUUGCUACUUGAAUGCGUAUUUCCAUAUAUCUAUACCUUUAUGUUGAUAUCUGUCAGAUUGAAUCAUAGAUGUAUAUAAAUACAAACAAUCACAUUCUUAGCCGUUAUUUGACAUUAUUUGAUGUCAACAUACUCAUCACACUGACUGGGAAAUCGUUACUGCACAAAUGAACAUUUUUUGUGUGAUGAAUUAAAUCGUCAUAGAAAUAAAAGAAAACAUGUAAAUGUUAUUUAUUUUUAGAAGUGAAACAAUAAUUAUAAAAAAGCUUUUCGACUAUGAGAUAAAACAUUUUAAAAACA
RNA transcript from Dreissena polymorpha, 4229 nucleotides. RefSeq lists it as uncharacterized. The record is from RefSeq and is a predicted model, not a curated record. The transcript is spliced from 2 exons. NCBI's taxonomy places the organism in Eukaryota, Metazoa, Mollusca, Bivalvia, Myida, Dreissenidae.